Molecule: transfer RNA, 74 nt
Filed under: Hildenbrandia rubra
Lineage: Eukaryota; Rhodophyta; Florideophyceae; Hildenbrandiales; Hildenbrandiaceae
Also listed under: 1 other name
Description: tRNA-Pro
Rfam family: tRNA
About the family: Transfer RNA (tRNA) molecules are approximately 80 nucleotides in length.
Source: RNAcentral
CGGGAUAUAGCACAGUUUGGUAGCGCGCCUGCUUUGGGAGCAGGAUGUCGUAGGUUCAAAUCCUACUAUCCCGA